UACGUAGGGUGCGAGCGUUAAUCGGAAUUACUGGGCGUAAAGCGUGCGCAGGCGGUUAUGCAAGACAGAUGUGAAAUCCCCGGGCUCAACCUGGGACCUGCAUUUGUGACUGCAUAGCUAGAGUACGGUAGAGGGGGAUGGAAUUCCGCAUGUAGCAGUGAAAUGCGUAGAUAUGCGGAGGAACACCGAUGGCGAAGGCAAUCCCCUGGACCUGUACUGACGCUCAUGCACGAAAGCGUGGGGAGCAAACAGG
This 253-nucleotide ribosomal RNA is filed under the name uncultured bacterium. RNAcentral's name for it is "partial 16S ribosomal RNA". It matches the Rfam family "Bacterial small subunit ribosomal RNA", at positions 524 to 776 of the family's 1533-position model. The record is from RNAcentral.